RNAcentral lists this ribosomal RNA (588 nucleotides) under uncultured bacterium. RNAcentral's name for it is "bacterial SSU rRNA". It matches the Rfam family "Bacterial small subunit ribosomal RNA", at positions 102 to 685 of the family's 1533-position model. The record is from RNAcentral.
ACGGGUGAGUAAUGCUUAGGAAUCUGCCUAUUAGUGGGGGACAACAUCUCGAAAGGGAUGCUAAUACCGCAUACGUCCUACGGGAGAAAGCAGGGGACCUUCGGGCCUUGCGCUAAUAGAUGAGCCUAAGUCGGAUUAGCUAGUUGGUGGGGUAAAGGCCUACCAAGGCGACGAUCUGUAGCGGGUCUGAGAGGAUGAUCCGCCACACUGGGACUGGGACACGGCCCAGACUCCUACGGGAGGCAGCAGUGGGGAAUAUUGGACAAUGGGGGGAACCCUGAUCCAGCCAUGCCGCGUGUGUGAAGAAGGCCUUUUGGUUGUAAAGCACUUUAAGCGAGGAGGAGGCUACCGAGAUUAAUACUCUUGGAUAGUGGACGUUACUCGCAGAAUAAGCACCGGCUAACUCUGUGCCAGCAGCCGCGGUAAUACAGAGGGUGCAAGCGUUAAUCGGAUUUACUGGGCGUAAAGCGCGCGUAGGUGGCCAAUUAAGUCAAAUGUGAAAUCCCCGAGCUUAACUUGGGAAUUGCAUUCGAUACUGGUUGGCUAGAGUAUGGGAGAGGAUGGUAGAAUUCCAGGUGUAGCGGUGAA